Odontomachus brunneus is the source of this 1061-nucleotide long non-coding RNA. RefSeq lists it as uncharacterized. NCBI's taxonomy places the organism in Eukaryota, Metazoa, Arthropoda, Insecta, Hymenoptera, Formicidae. The transcript is spliced from 4 exons. The record is from RefSeq and is a predicted model, not a curated record.
UCGUAUCAUUACUUGGCUUUGUAAAAUUCCUGAGAAUAUGUGUAAAUUCUGAUAUAUACAUUCGCAGAUAUACGUAGAGAACUCAAGUAUAAAUCGAUCAGCAGGGCUCUUGCGACAGGAAUCUAAUUAUAUUCUGGAAUCUAGCCAAAUUGAUGAAAGACUGUUGACUCGGCUGUAUUUGGUAGUAGUAACGCUAACGCUUUACAGUGAUCUCAUUACAGAGAUAGCAACAAGUUUAUCAGUUCUUUCCGAUAGAAAUGCGCGCGACUAGCUUUCUCUUUUGCUAUGCAGCAAUGUGUUGCAGAUAUUUCUCAAAACAUAUUUGAAAACAAUUACACACACAUACUUAUUAUGUGUAAAAUAUAUAUUUUUUUUUUUUAAAUAUAAGCUUGGACAUGUCCCUUAACAUGUUACAUCUAUAAAAAUUGUUUUAUAACGAUAUUAAACUCACUUUGAAUGAAGCCCUCCACCAGGAGGCAAAUGAGGAAAGUCUUGGUCGCCUCCUCUAAGAAGUUCAAGCAUUUUCAGAUAAUCGAAUUCAUUCUUAUCCUCCUCUGCAGCGACUAUAUCUACAAAGACACAAUACAGAUUUUGUGCAACAAUUUUAAAUGCUGUUUUGCAAGUAUAUGCUUAACGAAAUGUGCUUAACGUAUGAACAGGUCUUUACAUGCAAUUUAUUAAGAUGCGGGAAUAAUAUAACCAAUUGUAAAAUAAUCAACAAGGAUCGAGAUAUGUAAUAUGGCUGUAUCGUGUACAUGCAUCUACUUGGAACUGGGAGAAUAAAUCAUACAUAUUACAUUUCUUAUGGAAACAAAUAUUCCGUAAGUAGAUACAUUUCAGUGAAACUUUUUAGCAAAAUCAAUGUAUAAUGCAAAUGUCCACCUCUGGAAUUGUGUGCCUACAUAUAUUGCAAGACAAAUGGAGAGGGAGAAAAGAAAAAAGGUCCGUUGCAAUAUUCAUCCAUAAGAAAUGCAUUGUUGAGAAAGUAAUAUCAAAAGUGUAAUCUUUGUAAAAAAAUUUGCACCUACCUGUGACACAGUUUACACGUAUACUUAAAAAAA